CCCGACGAGAUUUCCUCCACCCUCUCCCUCUCUCGUCGGCUAGGGUUCCGUCCUCCGCUGCCGCUCCCUUGCCUCGCCGCGCCGCGCCAUCGUUGACCUCAAAAUCGGGAUACCCGCACCACGCCAUGGAAGCCCCAUCACCUAAAGACCGAGCUCCGCAUUUUCGUGCCCGACUCCGCAUCUUCUCCGCCGCCGCUCUGCGCCCUCUCUCUCGUGCUCGUCGCGAACCGCCGCUGCUUUUCCCUCCCUCUAUCCCUGCCCGCCACCUCUCCCCUCUCAUUCCAUGCCCCUGCAGAUCAUUGUCUUGUCUCGUCGCCCUUCUUCAUCGUCGACAGCGUCGCCACAAAGGAGAAGGGGGUCGGGAUGAGGAAAAGAGGGGUAGCCACCGACGACACGUUGUUCAGUUCGUCCCACAACUGCAGGCGAAGCAAGGGCAAUGCUCUUCGUCCGCCGUUGUGACGGACCUCGGGUGAGCCUCGAGUUCGACUUCCGACGACACCCGCCCCAAAGUAUCUUCCCCGGUAAGAUCUGUAGGUACCUACCGCCAUACAUUCUUAUCCGCAACGCCGUAUCCCUCUGCCAUUUGGGGGGGAUUGAUUGCCUCCGAGGGCAACAGAAGGAGUUCUUCACAUAUCACCAGCCUCUUCUUCAUUGAUCGAUGCUAGGGGUGGGGUGUACCAGAAUAUUUGUUGCAACCAAAGUCCAGAAGGAGGAUGGACAUGCUCGUUACACAAGUGUCAACAGUAGAUGCGCCUGCACUAUAGCAAAUAGGGCAACUGCUCUAAUCUUCCUAGGUAUCUGCAUCUCUACGUUUUCUUAUCCAAAUCUGACUGCUUAAGAAUUCCUCAAUAAUACAGAGUUCUGCCCGAGCUCACUUUUUUCUCUACACUUUUCAAAAUUUUAUGUAGCAUAUACCAAGGUAAAGGUUUCGUUUGCACUAUAGAAAUGCUAUUGUUUGCUGCUUCGGAUACAACAAAUUCUAGAAUAAUUAUUAGUACAUAUAUCACAGUCUGGAAUGAUUUUGUUUAGUGGUAUAAUGUGGUGUUCUAAUUUAUCAUGUGUCAUUGAACUUAGUUGCACCAUUUCCAUUUUGGUGCGGCUUAUACAACAUGUGUACUAAGAGAUGGCACCUUUUUUGUCCUCAUUUUGUCUUUGCGUUUGCUAAACCAGCUAUGAUUUGGUUUCUUACGUCAGAUGAACAUGUUCGCUUUUCAUUUACAAGUCAUUCGAACUAUCAAGGUCUAAUCUGAACUGGUGAGAAAGAAAGUAGUAACUGCUUAUAAAAUGUGGUUUUUAUUGUUGGUUUGGAAUCCUAUUCUUAUGAAAAGUGUUUAUUUGUUCAGGUUUAAUAGUAUUGCUGCUGGAGUGGUUUUGUUUCUUUGGAUUUCAGCAUCUACUGAUAUUGGUAAGUACCUUGCACUUGUUCUUGUUUGAUUAAUUAGGUAAUCCUCUGGAUUUCCGGUGCCAUGUUUUUGUGUACUAGGUGCAUUUCUUUGCUUGGUUAUAGUGGUGUCUCAAACUUUCUGCUUAAAUAUAGUAUUUCUUUUCUUGAUGCCUUCACUGGUUGUGAAUUUGUGAGCUUCCCUCAAUAGGGUGAAUAAUGAAUUAAUACUUGUGACCUUGUGAUGUAGUGCUCAACAAGAUGUUUAGAUACAGUAGACUAGCAGAGUAUAUAAUAUAUACAUCAAUGUAUGGCUAAGUCUGACCAAGGUUAUUGUGACAUCUGAAUCCCGUGCCAUAGGUCAUAGGUGGUUGUUACCGGUGGAAAAUAGGAUGACCUUUAUUCUUUUGGUAUACUGGAAGUAACAGCUUGAUUAGGGUCACUGUUACAAGUGCAUUUGGUGGCUGGGGAAAGGAUCAGAAAUCUUGUUAGCAUGAAAAAUGGCCACCUCAGAUUCAGAGAUGUCUGUCAAGAAAUUAGCUCUCUCUCUCUCGUCGUCGGCCCGUUGGAGGAGAACGGGAUGGGGAACCACGCCGGGAUGCAGAGAAGCGGGAGCUGGCGGAGGCGCUUGUUGAACAGGAGGGUGGCCACGAACACCCAUGUCAGCCUGCUUUGCGCAGUCAGAAGGAGUUGCCAACGAGGACCAACGUGCCUCUCAAGUGUGAAAGAGCGCCAACACCAUCUGCCUAGUCUAUGCUACCGAUGCCCUUCCGAGCAACUGGAGGAUUAAACAUGUAUUUCCAUGGUUUUCCUGAUCGCUUAUAAUUGUGACAACGCAGUAUGGCUCCAGUUCAAAGUAUAUCAUCCUGAUAUGUUUAGAUUAUUGUCAGAUGUAGUAGAAAAUUUAAAUGAUGGAUAAAUAAGAGGUUCAGUUUCUUCUUUUCCAAUUGCAGUUUUGCAUGCUGAUUAUCAGGCCGUGUAGAUAUAGUGGUGGGAGGACUACUCCCAUAUAUGGGUAUUAGACUUUUUUCUGGUUAGUAUUUUCAGUUGCUCCAACAAAACUAUGCAAGUUUCUUUGGUUGGUGUUAAAUGGUUGUGCUAAUGUAGUAUAUGUGUAUUACAUUUUAACUUAAUUCUACCUGGAGUUUUGUAUACAUUUGUUGUACGCUUGCAACUUAGUUGCAUCCUUUGGGGCAAUGAGUCACGCACACACUGAUUGUCACCGCUGCGCCUGUCCUCCCGCUGAAUGUGUCCUCCCUGUCGAUGAUGCAGUCGCACAGGUCUAGCGCCGCCAGACGCCGAUAACAGGCUUACAGUUUACCGUCGUUCUUGA
Molecule: long non-coding RNA, 2714 nt
Organism: Lolium perenne
Lineage: Eukaryota; Viridiplantae; Streptophyta; Magnoliopsida; Poales; Poaceae
Source: RefSeq, a predicted model, not a curated record